RNAcentral lists this ribosomal RNA (413 nucleotides) under Bradyrhizobiaceae bacterium Ellin7006. Its description in RNAcentral is "bacterial SSU rRNA". It matches the Rfam family "Bacterial small subunit ribosomal RNA", at positions 29 to 465 of the family's 1533-position model. The record is from RNAcentral. Lineage: Bacteria; Pseudomonadati; Pseudomonadota; Alphaproteobacteria; Hyphomicrobiales; Nitrobacteraceae.
AGCGAACGCUGGCGGCAGGCUUAACACAUGCAAGUCGAGCGGGCAUAGCAAUAUGUCAGCGGCAGACGGGUGAGUAACGCGUGGGAACGUACCUUUUGGUUCGGAACAACACAGGGAAACUUGUGCUAAUACCGGAUAAGCCCUUACGGGGAAAGAUUUAUCGCCGAAAGAUCGGCCCGCGUCUGAUUAGCUAGUUGGUGAGGUAAUGGCUCACCAAGGCGACGAUCAGUAGCUGGUCUGAGAGGAUGAUCAGCCACAUUGGGACUGAGACACGGCCCAAACUCCUACGGGAGGCAGCAGUGGGGAAUAUUGGACAAUGGGCGCAAGCCUGAUCCAGCCAUGCCGCCGUUGAGUGAUGAAGGCCCUAGGGUUGUAAAGCUCUUUUGUGCGGGAAGAUAAUGACGGACCGCAAG